Molecule: ribosomal RNA, 412 nt
Filed under: Clostridioides difficile
Lineage: Bacteria; Bacillati; Bacillota; Clostridia; Peptostreptococcales; Peptostreptococcaceae
Description: bacterial SSU rRNA
Rfam family: Bacterial small subunit ribosomal RNA
Source: RNAcentral
GAUGAAGGCCUUCGGGUCGUAAAACUCUGUCCUCAAGGAAGAUAAUGACGGUACUUGAGGAGGAAGCCCCGGCUAACUACGUGCCAGCAGCCGCGGUAAUACGUAGGGGGCUAGCGUUAUCCGGAUUUACUGGGCGUAAAGGGUGCGUAGGCGGUCUUUCAAGUCAGGAGUGAAAGGCUACGGCUCAACCGUAGUAAGCUCUUGAAACUGGGAGACUUGAGUGCAGGAGAGGAGAGUGGAAUUCCUAGUGUAGCGGUGAAAUGCGUAGAUAUUAGGAGGAACACCAGUUGCGAAGGCGGCUCUCUGGACUGUAACUGACGCUGAGGCACGAAAGCGUGGGGAGCAAACAGGAUUAGAUACCCUGGUAGUCCACGCUGUAAACGAUGAGUACUAGGUGUCGGGGGUUACCCCC